Molecule: ribosomal RNA, 206 nt
Filed under: uncultured bacterium
Lineage: Bacteria
Description: partial 16S ribosomal RNA
Rfam family: Bacterial small subunit ribosomal RNA
Source: RNAcentral
UAAUACGGAGGGUGCAAGCGUUAUCCGGAUUCACUGGGUUUAAAGGGUGCGUAGGUGGGCAGGUAAGUCAGUGGUGAAAUCUCCGGGCUUAACCCGGAAACUGCCAUUGAUACUAUCUGUCUUGAAUACCGUGGAGGUGAGCGGAAUAUGUCAUGUAGCGGUGAAAUGCUUAGAUAUGACAUAGAACACCAAUUGCGAAGGCAGCU